UAAAACCAGCACCUCAAGUGGUCAGGAUGAUUAUUGGGCCUAAAGCAUCCGUAGCCGGCUCUGUAAGUUUUCGGUUAAAUCUGUACGCUCAACGUACAGGCCGCCGGGAAUACUGCAAAGCUAGGGAGUGGGAGAAGUAGACGGUACUCGGUAGGAAGUGGUAAAAUGCUUUGAUCUAUCGAUGACCACCUGUGGCGAAGGCGGUCUACUAGAACACGUCCGACGGUGAGGGAUGAAAGCUGGGGGAGCAAACCGGAUUAGAUACCCGGGUAGUCCCAGCUGUAAACUAUGCAAACUCAGUGAUGCAUUGGCUUGUGGCCAAUGCAGUGCUGCAGGGAAGCCGUUAAGUUUGCCGCCUGGGAAGUACGUACGCAAGUAUG
RNAcentral lists this ribosomal RNA (380 nucleotides) under uncultured crenarchaeote. Its description in RNAcentral is "bacterial SSU rRNA". It matches the Rfam family "Archaeal small subunit ribosomal RNA", at positions 471 to 851 of the family's 1478-position model. Lineage: Archaea; Thermoproteati; Thermoproteota. The record is from RNAcentral.